Molecule: ribosomal RNA, 440 nt
Filed under: uncultured bacterium
Lineage: Bacteria
Description: partial 16S ribosomal RNA
Rfam family: Bacterial small subunit ribosomal RNA
Source: RNAcentral
CCUACGGGUGGCAGCAGUGGGGAAUAUUGCACAAUGGGGGAAACCCUGAUGCAGCGACGCCGCGUGAGUGAAGAAGUAUUUCGGUAUGUAAAGCUCUAUCAGCAGGGAAGAAAAUGACGGUACCUGACUAAGAAGCACCGGCUAAUUACGUGCCAGCAGCCGCGGUAAUACGUAGGGUGCAAGCGUUAUCCGGAUUUACUGGGUGUAAAGGUAGCGUAGACGGUAGUGCAAGACAGGAGUGAAGUCCCUGGGCUCAACGUCGGGACUGCUUUUGAAACUGUGUGACUGGAGUGCAGGAGAGGUAAGCGGAAUUCCUGGUGUAGCGGUGAAAUGCGUAGAUAUCAGGAGGAACACCAGUGGCGAAGGCGGCUUACUGGACUGUAACUGACGUUGAGGCUCGAAAGCGUGGGGAGCAAACAGGAUUAGAUACCCGAGUAGUC